UCUUAACCCGAAUCCCCUUAAUACCCCUCAAACCCAUUUCUUCUCUUUUCAUUUUAAAAGGACCAAACGAUCCCCAACCUUUUUCUCCCAAAAAAAUUCAUAGAAAGCAUAAUCCCACACUCCAAACCCACGCGAACCCAGUUGUAUUUGCCAUUUUUGGCUAAGUUGCAAAAGCUUUUUACAUUUUUCAAUUGUUGCCUAUAUACUUCGGGCAAAAACGUUGAAAUGUUUCUCUUCAUCUUCUCACAGAAUGGUAAUAUACUGACCCAUUUCCUUUCUUCAAUUUGUGUUUUGAUUUUUCUUCAUUUUCGUACGCAGAUUCGGAUUUCAAAGCAAAUAGAAAUGAAUUUCAAGUUUCAAAUCCAUCCCACAUCGAAUUUAAACUUCUCAAAACCCUAGAACUAGCCUUCUAUAAAAAGAGAACCAUUUCUUCAUUCUUGGAAGGAGUUUUUGGACACCACAAAUUGGUUUUUACACCAACAGUUUGAACACACUGAAACUCGGCUAACCCUUGAGUUUCGAGGAAGUUCUCACUCACAGUUAAUUUUUGGUCUCAUUUCUGUUCAUCGGAAGCUAGUUUGGUUGAAAGGGUGAUCGGCUCAAUUCUCGUCGCCCCUGUCGCUGCUCGGAAAAAAGGGACUUCUCCAAAUCCCAAAUGUCCAUGAGCUACUACUGAAGUUGAGUUUCUGCUGUACUUUGAAAUGGAGGAGUAUUGCCACUGCUGCCUGCGGUCAUGUUGCUCUGAAUUGCUGCAACUAGUUGGCUGCACCUGGGAUUUUGAAACUAUUGUUGUGUGUGGUUUCUCAUUGCUCUAUUUUGGUCCCAUGCUUGCUGCAUCUUGAGAUUGGACCUGCUACAUCUUAAAGAGGCUUUUGUUUUGUAUUCUAUAAGAAACAAGUGCUGCACUUUGUAGUUGGCUACUAUAGGGAUGCUCCAUUUGGAGGAUGAUUUGUUGCUGCAUUUUGAGACCUUUUCUAUUGUCUUAUUUUGAAAUAGAAUCCUAUGUUGUUGUCUUGUUGCUUUACUGUGGCUUCCUUUGUGGUUGUUUGUUGCUUCAACAUAUGACUGAGAUGCUGGUGCUACAUUGAUGUGCAUCUCCUAGAUUUUCUUUGCCAAACAGCUGCUACUUAUGGCUACCUACAACUGCUUUUUGUUAUUUCAUCUCGCUGCUAUCUAGCAGCUGCCAUCUGUGGCUGUUUAUUGCUACUGUUUGUUGUUGCUUGCUGUUGUAUGUUGAUCAUCAGCUGCUACUUUGAUUUUAAAAGAAACGUACAGAUAUUAUACUUGAGCUGACUCUCACAUUUUGUUAUUGAGCUGCAGCCAUGUGUGUGACUAAGUUGUUGCUUUAAAAUGGGCAGAUGCUACACUCUAAUGUUAUGCAGCUGCUAUGGUCAAAUCUUGCUGCACUUGUGAACCAAGUGAUGGAUGUAAUUUGAGGCAAAAAAAUAGAAGCUAUAUAUGGGACCACAUGGUUGUUGCUUAAUAUACGGUGUGCUACCUACAGUUGCCUGUGUUGCUACUUUUGGCUGCAAUUUUGCCACUGCUGUCUGUGGCUGUUUUACCACUGCUUGUUAUUUCUUCUGAAAAAUAUGAACAGAUUGCUACGCUUGGUGAAAUCCCACUGAUUUGAAUAGAUACUAAAAAGGCCGAUGAAAAAAUUUAAUUUGAGGCCAUGCCUUGUCCGGAAAGGUUAUCCCCCGGCUUAGGCGAUGAUGACCUCAUAGUAAUAUCACGAGGUAGGAACGAACAUGCGUUUGGCGAGGCAACUAGAAUGGCCACUAGUCUGCAACCAAGACAUGUUUCGGAUUCCUUUGCCACAUUCAGAAACAUGAGUCUGAGCCUCUGUAAUCAAAGCUCUCAAAGUUUGAUACAAGUCUGAGGGAUAUUAUUAUUAUGUUCAUAAACGUCACCCUAUGGGAUGGCGUACCAUUUUGACUAACUACUUUUCUCUUCAUUAUGCAAGGUACAAAUAGAACAAGUACGGAGAGCAAAGCUUAAAGACGAAGUAAAAAGGAUCGGGUGCUUAGAGCUUCGGACGAAGAACUAGAAGAGCAUGGGAUUUGGUCCCUAGGCUGAAAAAGCUAAAUUAUCUUCCCUUUCCUUUAUUUUGUAUAAACAUGCUUAUCUUACAUGUUUACAUUCAUUUUUUAUGAGCAUGUAUAUACUUGCAAAUACUUGUGUAUUGUUGAAACCCUUUAGAAC
Molecule: long non-coding RNA, 2202 nt
Organism: Lycium barbarum (goji berry)
Lineage: Eukaryota; Viridiplantae; Streptophyta; Magnoliopsida; Solanales; Solanaceae
Exons: 2
Source: RefSeq, a predicted model, not a curated record